Long non-coding RNA from Bos taurus (domestic cattle), 1993 nucleotides. The record is from Ensembl. NCBI's taxonomy places the organism in Eukaryota, Metazoa, Chordata, Mammalia, Artiodactyla, Bovidae.
AGGUGAGGCAGGCUGGUGACCUGGACCAGGAGGGAGCAAUGGAAAUGGAGAACAGGAACCGCUUCAAGAUGUAUCCUGGAAGUAGAAGGGUCCUGGCAACACCUGCCCUCAGUCCCUUUCUCCAGACCCCGGCCCUGUUGACCAAGCUUGGUGCUUCCCUGUGUGGCCCACGGUGGCGUGGUGUGGCCCGUCUCCUUGGGAACUUACACUCAAGCAGGGCCACUAGGCCUCAAGAGAGUAUACCGAAAACUGGAAAAUGACCUUCUUGUCCUCUCUCUGCACUCUUCCUUCACAAGUGAGGGUUUCUGUGAUCACCACCUCUGCUGUUACCUUGGAGACCAGAGAAUAAAUAGAUUCCAAAUGCAGGUGGUGUCUUAUCCAAAUGAAGAUGCAACUUACAUUCUUCUUGAAAGACAAGGACAAUUCUCAAAGCAUCUUCUGAGGGCAGAGGACAACUGACACUUUGUACGGAUGCUGCGGAGACCAUCCUGAGCUGCUUGGCGCUGCCUGUGUGGAGACAGGUGAGUGUACACAGGCAUCAGCCACGCAAGGACCACCUGCAGACCCACGUUCCGCCUGUCCUGUCUCAGAGACAGAUGACUGCACCACGGCCAUGGAGUUUAUCGUACUUACAGCCCCUCAAAAGCAGGAAGGAGUUACAAGCAUACUGAGAGAUUAAAAUCUGCCCCUCUCUCACCCCCAAAUAUAUAGCAGAAGCUUCCACAGAAGGCAGCAUGGGGUUAAAAAGUCUGGAUCUCAGAGUUUUCCAUGUUGGGUUUGAUGCCCAGCUCUUCCACUUACUCUGUGAUGUGGGCAAGGUGCCUAUCUUCCCAAGCCCCCGCUGCGUCACCUGUAAAGUAAGCAUGCCUGUCCCACUUAGCUCACCAGGCUCUGAGGUGUUUAAGUGGGAGAAGGACACAAAACGCCCUCACCAGGCAGCACUCCAUGAACGAUGUCACUGGUGUCUGGCCAGGCUUCCCAGGUGGCACUAAUGGUAAAGAGCCCUCCUGCCAGUGCAGGAGACGUAAGAGACGCAGGUUGGCUCCCUGGGUUGGGAAGAUCUUCUGGAGGAGGGCAUGGCAACCUACUCCAAUAUUCUUGCCUGGAGAAUCCCACAGACAGAGGAGCCUGGCAGGCUCCAGUCCACAGGGUCCAAAGAGUCAGACGCAACUGCAGCGACUUAGCACACAUGCACCCUGUCUAGCCACCUAAUUCAGGUCCCUCUGAAUGAGGUCCCACUGCUGUCAAAUGUCUUUGCACCCCAGGAGUGGAAAGAACGGAACAUGCAAGACUCAGAAAACCUUGCCCUGAGGGAGCUGGUCAAGAAAAGUCUGGUGUUCAGAAGGACACUGUUUCCCACCUUCUUACUUGUGAGGAGUCUUAGGCAUAUAACAAACCCUCUUACUUUCUUUGAAAACCUUCUGGUGAGCCCAACAGAGAACCAAAGAGUCUGGUCCAGACUAAUUUCAGCCCUGGAGAACAAAGCCAAAGGCACCAACCUGCAUACACAAAACUAUCUUUACACACCAGACCUCAACAAGCUGCAGACUGGAAGUGAAUUGCUGGGGUCACUCUUUUGUGUCUCUUGUCUGAAUUGAACCUGAAUAUUGAAUCUGAUAGGUCUUCAAGAGAUCCUACAACCAUGGGGAAAGCCCCAGAACAGUGGGUCUUGAGGAAACCUCAGACAUCAACUUCAUUCUUCAGCAGGCUACACUUCAAUUGGCUUUCUGUGGCCCUCGGGAUGAGGUCAAAAUGCUGACCACAACAUAUGUGACCUCCAGCUGGCCUACAUGUUCCUUCAAGUUCCGUAAUCCACCCCAGCCCAUUUGUUGCCGUAGAGCUUGCACAAAUGCAGUCUGUCUGACAGAAAUGCUUCUCUACCUCAUCCAAACUUCACUCCUCCUUAUCCUUCAGUCUCAACUUACACAACUUUCCUCAAGAAGCCUUCCUCACUCCGCCAACUCGGUCCUAUCUUUCCAUAACACCACACACU